UUGUUUCAGUGGACAUCCUGCAUUUCAGAAUACUUUAGCUGCCUUGUCCUCUUCAGAGCAGAGCCCUAUUGUUCCAUAAUUGUCCCUUAUCUUUGAAAUUUGAUGCCCACUUGCACUACCCAAGUACGGUCAUUUAAAGGAAGAGCGUGAGAAUGUGCACAGUGCAGCUGAACUCCUGGAGAAGUGAGGAUUUGUCAAAGCUAUUGUAAGGGCUUCUUUCCACCUUCGCAUCCACGGUCUGUACCCAAGAAUGAAUGAGCUUAUACGGACAUAGCAUACCUCUGUGAACUUUCCAAGAGAAGUUGUCCUUUGUCACCCAUCUGCUGGAAUCCUCUUCUAGAUAAGACCCAUUACAACCGAGUAUUAGGCCAUGGACUGUGCCUAGUCAUUGACUAUCAUCUUUGUGCAGAACAAUGGGCAGGAAGGUUACCCUCUACCUACACAUCUAGACCCUGAGGAGUAACAGGAAGCAUUGUGGAAAAAGGCAUGCUGGAGCCCGGUAUUUUUUGUGGCAUUUUUUACAUAAACUGUGCUAUUCAUGUAGAAAUGUUAAGCCAAGUAAAUAAAGCAAAUCCAACUGUAAUAUUAUUACUAAUGCAGUGGUACCUUGGUUUACAAACUUAAUCUGUUCCGGAAGUCCGUUCUUAAACCAAAGCAUUCUUA
Podarcis muralis (Common wall lizard) is the source of this 663-nucleotide non-coding RNA. The record is from RefSeq and is a predicted model, not a curated record. NCBI's taxonomy places the organism in Eukaryota, Metazoa, Chordata, Lepidosauria, Squamata, Lacertidae.